RNAcentral lists this long non-coding RNA (6667 nucleotides) under Sus scrofa (pig). Its description in RNAcentral is "lncRNA (ENSSSCG00015013066.1)". The record is from RNAcentral. Lineage: Eukaryota; Metazoa; Chordata; Mammalia; Artiodactyla; Suidae.
AGAGCCCUUACUGCAAAGUCUUCUGGGAUCAGAAGAGCCCUUAUCAAUCAUUCAGCCUCCACACUGUAGAACUCUUAGUCUCAGAUCCCAGAAUUACUGAACCUUCUAGGAAACAUAGCAGACAGCCAAAUCAAAUGCCCUCAUUUUUCAGCUGAUACACUGCAGUCAUGUAGACAAAAAGGCUGAUCCCAUCACAACAGUGACAGAGAUCCCGGAGUCCACUUUUUUCCCAGGCAGAGCCCUCAGCCUUAGGUCACCAGCCUCCAUCACCACCAAUAUCAUUCUAGUGACUAAAUGUACUUUAUCACUGGGAUGUUCUUACACAGAGCUAAACUAAGUUAUCUAGGAUCAAGUUCAAUGUCAUUUCUUCUCAUUCAAUCCUCAAGUGGAGAGAGCAAAAUGCUGGCUGCCUUCUCUUAAAAAAAUCUAUAUACCAAAUGAUGUUUUUUUCAUAGGACUUCAGAUAAGAAGAAAUCUCAAGAGAUUAUCUUAUCUACCUUGCAACUGGGCAUUACUAAACAGAGAACAAAACAGCUAGAAACCUCCUCCAUAACUACGGAUUUCCAAGAAAGGCAAUGUUUUGGCAAAUUUAGGACACAGAAGUGUUUGAGCUCAUUUACCAAUAAAUGUAGGCAAAAUAUAAUCUCCCUAUGCAAUCGGAUUCGUUAACCACUGCGCCACGAUGGGAACUCACGUAUCUUCUACUCUUGCUCUUUCAGUUCCUCUGACUGAUCUGGACUCCACGUUGCUGGCUUUCCAGAUAAGUCCAUUGGCACCAUCAAUACAGAGUGGCCUUCUGAGCUAUGCUGCUAACAAAUGCAUCCCAACUAGAUCCUUCCCACUAUAUGUCAUGUUACUGUCUUGCUUCCAGUUACUGGUGCUAUAUUUGUUUUUCUACUGUACGUUUUAAAAUAACUUGGAAAAUUAUAGUAGCAAUACAAGUUCAUUACAAAAUAUUCAAAUGAACAGAAGGAAGAAAAUAUUCAUUAUAAUACCUGAAAGGUUCAUAACUGUUUCCAAACACUUUUCCUACUUACACUGUUUUUACAAAAAUGUAAUUAUAGGAUCUACAACAUUGGAUAAUCUUCUGUUUUCAUGAAGGAAACUAAAUGAAUAUCUUUUUGUCAAUAAUUAUUCACUUAGAAUAUUAUUUUCAAUGGUUGCCUAAUAGCCAUCUCCAUAUUGAUAAAUGUUUAGUUGUUUUGAAUAUUCUGCUAUUAUAAACUAUGUUACAAUGAUACUUGUAGCUCUUCAAUGGCUACUGUGUUAUCAUGAUUGACUGAUGACUUACCUUCCUAGACCUAGAAGAAGCAAUGGAUUCUGAUGUUUACAAAGCCUGUCACUGCAGCUUACCAGGAUGUAGGCCAAGAUAUAUUACUUUCAUAUCCAAAUGCUUUGAAAGAAACACUGCUGUCCACUGAUAUUAUAUAUGUAUAUGUGUGUGUAUACGUAUAUAUAUGUAUAUGUGUGUGUGUGUGUGUAUAUAUAUAUACGGAUAUACACACAUAUUUGUUGCUAUUUGCUCACUAUUUGGGGGUGGGAAUGGGGUGGAAGAAACCCAGUCUUAUGUUCUUCACCUGUUACUAUUUAAAAUUGACAUUUCGUUUUUUCAAGUUACUGCCAGUUCCUGAUCACCUAUUAGUUUAUUCUUUUCUUCCAAAAAAUUGUCACAUUUACUUAUUCAGGGCAUGGGACUGGGGUGGGGCAGAAAUGCGUUCAAGUGGGUCCUGUUUUUGCUGUGGUGGGAACAUAUGAUGCAGGCCUGGAACCUGCAGGUCCCUUUUUACUGUGAUGUUGAAGCAGGACAACAAUAAUGCCCACUAGAAGUGUGAAUAUAUGUAGGUGUUCAUAUACAUAUAUGUGUGUGUAUAUGCACAUACACAUAUAUAUUCACAUACAUACAUAUGGAAAAUAUACUACAUACAAAAAUACUAUGUAUAUAUUUGGCAAAAGAUUUUAAAAACUGACUUUUGAAAACGAAAUGUGGCAUGUGGAGGUACGAACAGCUAAAAGCCCCAGUGACAGAGCAUCUCUCAGAAUCAUCAGUUGGGAUCAGCUACUACUAAGGAAGUCCACCCCUCUUUGCUGAAGAGUCCACAGGUGUAAAAGAAGAAGGAACAGGCAAGGCAGCAGAAGCAUAACUUCAUUCCCUUUUAUUGGGCUUGGCCAGAGGGGCCGAUUCCCUAACAGCCUCAGCUCCCAAUAGGGGAAGGCAAACUGUAGCCAGCAAGACACCCUGAGGAAACCAAGGGUGCAACUGACUGACAUGGCUUCUGGGAGGCCCUGCCUGCCUCCCCUUCUUCACAUCCCACACCCUGGGAUCAAGGUCAGGGAACAAUAGGUGCAGCACUUGCCAGACAGGUUGUGUCCCCUAGGACCCUGCCCCAGGUCAAGGCCACUCUAGAAUGAGUUCUGAGAACCCCUGGAGGAGAAGUUGGCUGAAGGAAUUUUACUCAGGUCUGAAAUGGCCCAGUCUCUAGAGGUCUGGAUCCAAAAAAUAAAAAAACUCCAACUAUUUGUUUCUCACCAGAAUGAAAAACCAUUUAAAUGCUCCCUAGGGGCCAUAAAUUAUUAUGUUUCCAAAAAUGCUAUGCUGUGGGAAACACUAAUAUUAAAUAAAUAGCCCCUCUCUCUUUUACCAAGGACAUGUGAAAAACAAAACUACCGAUAAAGAAUUGAGAUACUGUUUUAAGUGGGUAAAACUGACAAAAUGAAACCACCAUUUUUUUCUAAGUUCCGUAGCCAGUUACCAACCUUUGUCACUUAGUCUUGCAUUUAAUAAACACGUGCCUUACUUUAAAGGAGAACAUGGUCAGAGGCUGAAGGCAGAUCCUAGACCUGACCUAUGAGGGUGGAUUAUCGAGGAAUGGACUCAUCCAGCCAAGAUGAAGAAAAGCAAUCAGACAGGCCUAUCUGAGAAUUCACCGAGGAAGUUAGAAGCCAGUCACAACGUCCCUGGCAAGACAGCAAAUUCACUGAAAAUCGAACCACACAUUCACUGGAUUCUUCUUUCUCCAUCAUUGGUUUUCUCUUGGCCUCUGAAAACUUUCAUGGGUCAGAUGGGGAGGAGCAGGGAGAAGGAGAGGCAGGCAGGGAGGGAGGAAAUGAGAGGGUUUUCCUGCUGGAGAUCUCAGUGGGUGUCUGAACUGCCUCCUCCAGGGUGAGAAUGGAGUGGGAGGGCCAGGGCGGCCUGAGAGAAGAGGUGCCAGUUUCUUGUAAGAAGCAGGGAGAGAGGAGGGCUCUUCUCAGCAAACCGGGAGAGAUUUUGGUAGUGAUGUCAGAAACAGAGCAUCUGCCUUCUUAGGACUUUGCCAACUGGCAGAGGGGAUGUGGUUCAGAGUGCCAAUUCUCUCUGUAAGGAGAGGCAGGAAAUGGGCAGGGAACACUCAACUCAGUGGGAAUGGCCACCUUUGAAUGACAGGAGAGAGCACAGAGCGGGGCAGAACACAGUAUCUUGUUCCCCUUUGUGAGGAAGACAUCCAUAUUUCAUAUCUGCAUGGUGUUUCAGUUUACACAAUACAGAGAGCAUCACACUGAAGCCUCACUGUGAUUUGUGACAUGGGCUCAACCAUUGUUACUUCCAGGUGAGGAAAUUAACACCGAGAAAUAAAUGAUCCACUUGAUUGCAGGUCUUCUAAUGUUCUUUCUGCAAGAUUUGAGCAGCUUCUCUGGGACAUGUCCACACAAAAUGAGUACAGUUAGAAGGGCCUUUUAAACAGUCAUGUAUUCAUAAGAUGCUAUUACUACUAUUAGCAUUGGUACUGGGUCAGUUCAUACCUAGAAGAAGCCUUCUUUCUGAGGGUAGAAGGAAAGAAGACAAACUGAGCUUAGAAAGAAAAGUAAGGUAUUUCCCUGGAUACCACAACAUCAAAGCCCUAACUCAUCCACUGGCCACCAGGAGGGCCCCCUUUAACCUCUAAACCGCAGUUCUCCCAAGAGCUAGAUCUCAACCUGUCUUAGCUUCUAAAUCAUCUUGAUUUGCUGUCUCCCCAAAUUCGACCUCCAUGUAUAGUAGGCCCUCUUUAUGAAGGCCGUAGGUAAGUGCCAAUUCUGCAGCAGCAUCAAAUAAAUGGCGUACACUAUUAAAUCUGAGCUUCUCAAAAGAAUCCAAAUAUAGUAUUGAUUUUGGCAGGUGUUGGAAUAUCUGUUUCAAUAAAUAAAUAUUUAUUUGGUUUGGGGGUCCUCCUUUAACUUCAUACUGCCCCAGAAAAUACUGCAUUUGCUGUUUAAUCAGGCCCUGAUUGGGCUUCUGGGUUCAGGCAGUUUUUGCCACACUGUAGAGACUGCAGACAAUAUGACAUCACCUAUAGGUUGCUGGACAAGAAGGACAAGUGUGAUUCAGUCUCUAACCCCUGGUGGCAUGCUAGGAAACCCUACUUGCGGUUAUCCUUGAGCACCUUUUAUCUGCUUUAUGAUUUAUGUAUAGUAUCAUUAACCCUCACAAUAAUGGGUAUGGUGGGGACAGAUGAGAAAUGAAAGCCUGCUAACUUGCUUUCUUUCCCUACAAGGUGAACACACCGCACAGUCUUAAAGGUUCAAUUCCAUGUGCAACUCUGCAAUCUGAAAUGAGGGCCCACAUUUCCCACUGCUGAAGGGUCACACUGUUAACAGAUUCCUUAUUGCUCCUAAAACCAAAAGCACAGCUUAAAGCUACCCUACUAUAAACUAUGUAUAGUCACUGACUAAUAAUUAUACUUAUCCCCAGUCUAUAUUUGUUAAUGAAAUUUAGCAAUUUCAUUUAAUAAGAAAAUCCUGUUCUUAGUUGUAUUCAGUGAACACAGUUGUAUUUAAUGCAGAAUUUCGGGUUAAAAAUUCCUACAAAUUUGAAUGGAAUCACAGCAUUUGAUGCUUAAUUUUGGUAUUUUCUGGUUUUCAAUGUAUGUUUCAAAUUGUGGAGUCAACAACCUUCUGGUAGCCUGACUUUGAGUUGGCUUUCCAUCCAUUCCAGGAGCCUUCCCUCUAGUCUGUUCUAUUGCAUGCACAAACAUCCUUCAGGAACUGCUUUAAAUUCAAAAUCCUGCUUUCUAACCUCAGUCUCCUUUCUGACUGUUCUUAUCUAUCUUUUUUAUUGACUUCCGAUCAGUUGCCCAGCUCUAGAGAUUCUUAGUAAACCAAGUCUCCCAGGCAUAUUUCUUCUUUCCAUUCUGCCUUCCUUCAAUGUUCAAGUUCUUGCCCGAUUCAAUUAACAAACCUAUGCUGAAGAUGCAUCAGACUAACGUUCACAGAACGUGAAUAUAAUUUUAAACUCCUGCUCAAAGAGCUCAACCACUUGCCCUCUGAAUAUUAAAAAUCUACUUAACCUCAUAUUCGAGGCUUUUGAAAAGUUUAAGCCAAUUAUCUUUCGCAAGUAUUAUCUUCUAAACACCACCUAUUUUCAGGAUCCUAUGCCUUAGAUAAAGUGUAUCAGCACCAUGCUGCAAGUUUCCCUGCUUCUAUGUCUUUGAUCAUGCUAUUUCUGAUUCCUGAAUAGCUCUGCUCAACCUGAAUUGUUAGAAUUUCACCCACACCUUUCAGGGUUUAAAUCUCCACAUUAUGUUUUUCCUCUGUGAUAUUUUCAUCAUAAUUCUUCGUAUCAAAGAUAUUCAUAUACUUUUCUCCCCCCAUACUAAAUUUAACAUUGUAUUCAUUUUAAUGUCUAGUAAAACUCCUUCAUAGUAUAAAAACUCAGUUUUGAAUGAAUGGGCUAGUUAAAAAAGUUGAAUUCUUAAUAUCUAUAUCCUUAAACAUUAAAUGAAAAAUAUUCCCUGAAGCCAAAGCAGAUUCUACUUACAAUUAGCGUAAGUUUUCACCAACUGACUUCUAUAUUCUAUAUUUAUGAAAAACUACCUUAUCUAUUUCUAUAUAUUGAUAAAAUACUUUGUGUAUGUGGUCAUUGUGCUGUUUAAUUCAUUACAAUUUUUGUGUGAAAUUUUUGAAUCUUUGUUGAGUUUAUGAGUCACUCUUAAAUACUAGUCAGUGGUCAUUAAAAAAUUAUAUGCAGUUAGAUAUUAAAACAUAUAUGCAGUGGCUCCACAUCUGAAUUUCUACGUGUACAAUUCUAGACUUUAAUUGAUUAAAACAUAGGUGCUAAACAGAACUUCAAAUUUCACUUUGACUUUCAUCAUGACCCAAACUAGUAUUCAUUUUGCCUUAUUAUGGCCACGCCGUUUCUUGUGCUAAAGAAAAGCUAUCUUCACAUCACCCUGCAGAACUUUCGUCCUAUCUUUUCUACCAUAGGAAAGUGGCGGGGCGGACUUUCAAGUAUUGUUCUGGAGUCAUUGUUCAGCCAGUCACCUUGACUAUACCAUCAUUAUUUGUUCCUUUAACUUUGUGCUCAAGUAAAUUGCCUCUCUCAGAUUAAAGCCUUUGCUGUUAGCUACUGACACAACUGCACCACUUGAUUUUUAUUUGUCAUCCAUUGCUCCAGCUCUGAGUCACUGUUAACAAAAUUAAAGCCAUGAAUUUCUCUUCUAAUAGGGCAUUUGUGCCUUUCAUAAACGGCCCUCAAAUGUAAGAGAUAUAGGUUCUAGCCACAAUAAACAUCCACAUGAAAUCACUUUGGAACAUAAAUUUAGAUUUAAAUUGGUAGUUAAAGUUAAUCCUCACUGAAUAGGAACUAUUAAAAAUAAGGAAGCUUGAAAAAUACCAAGCAAUUUGGCAUUAUUUAGUAUGGCAUGCUAAUUCUCUU